GGUGGCUAUAGCGGCGGGGAACUACCUCUACCCAUACCGAACAGAGAAGUCAAGCCCGCUUGCGCCGAUGGUACUGCCCCACCAGGUGGGAGAGUAGGCAGCUGCC
RNAcentral lists this ribosomal RNA (106 nucleotides) under Candidatus Cryptobacteroides excrementipullorum. Lineage: Bacteria; Pseudomonadati; Bacteroidota; Bacteroidia; Bacteroidales. The record is from RNAcentral.